GACGGUCUUGCUGUCACUUAUAGAUGGAUCCGCGCUGCAUUAGCUAGUUGGUAAGGUAACGGCUUACCAAGGCAACGAUGCAUAGCCGACCUGAGAGGGUGAUCGGCCACACUGGAACUGAGACACGGUCCAGACUCCUACGGGAGGCAGCAGUAGGGAAUCUUCCGCAAUGGGCGAAAGCCUGACGGAGCAACGCCGCGUGAGUGAUGAAGGUCUUCGGAUCGUAAAACUCUGUUAUUAGGGAAGAACAUAUGUGUAAGUAACUGUGCACAUCUUGACGGUACCUAAUCAGAAAGCCACGGCUAACUACGUGCCAGCAGCCGCGGUAAUACGUAGGUGGCAAGCGUUAUCCGGAAUUAUUGGGCGUAAAGCGCGCGUAGGCGGUUUUUUAAGUCUGAUGUGAAAGCCCACGGCUCAACCGUGGAGGGUCAUUGGAAACUGGAAAACUUGAGUGCAGAAGAGGAAAGUGGAAU
Molecule: ribosomal RNA, 473 nt
Filed under: Staphylococcus aureus
Lineage: Bacteria; Bacillati; Bacillota; Bacilli; Caryophanales; Staphylococcaceae
Description: bacterial SSU rRNA
Rfam family: Bacterial small subunit ribosomal RNA
Source: RNAcentral